GUGUAUGGGUAUCUGGAUGCUUCAGAAUGGUCCAGUUUUCCACCACAUGCAAGAGAGUUAAAGGCUCUCCAGUGCUUUGACGUGGUUCCCUUUCCCAAGCCUUUGUCCCCUAGGAGUUAUCUCCAUCCUCCCCUUCAAGCAGCCACCCCAUUCUCCAUUCCAAGAGCUUCUACAACAACCAACCCACUUCUCACCCUGGUCUAUUUCACACACACCACAAAAGAUCAACCUUCCCCUCGCAGUGGUCUCCAGCAUCAGUUGCCAAAUUCCUCCUCUUGCACCUUUCAUGGAGAUGUGGUUUCAUGCCACAGGAAGGAAGAGGCAGCAGUUAGUAAAAGAAGGCUACAGCCUCUUUGGAAGAGGAGAGUUAGAUGAUGGCAUAAGGGACAAGCCCCUCUAGACAGCUAUCUUUUGCACUAUUCAGGUGUUGCACCAGCUCACAGCCAACAACACACACAGCAACUUAGGACUGGGCACAAAGAAGAGCAGAGGAGGUACAACAGGGCAAACCCAUCCCUGGAGGUGUUCAAGGCCGGGCUGGAUGGGUCUUUGAGCAACCUGGUCUCAUGGAAGGUGUCCCUGUCCAGGACAAGGUGGUUGGAACUUGAUGAUUUUUAAGAUCCCUUCCAACCCAAACCAUUCUAUGAUUCUAUGAAACAGGCUUUGGCAGGCCUUGCUGCUGAGACCCGAAGUAUGUUACAGAAACCCCACUUUAGAGCCUACAGGUUGUAUACUUUAAAAGUUUAACUGUGCAAAACAUAGUCACUCAUUCCUACCAGGGCCAGAAGUAGACAGCAGGUCAAAGCAACCAUCCAUAGGGAAGAAGCUGUAAAUAAAGGACUUGGUCCAAUCUUGGCUCUGUUUGAUUUGAAUAGCUAUUGCUACUUACGAAGUCAAAAAUACAACAAACUCCAAAUAACCAUCUCAUUAUUCUGCUGUUUCUACUUGGGGUAGUAAAGUGCCUCUACAUCUCCCCUGGCAGUGAACGGGAAAACAAAGCAGAAAAUUUUAUGGCAUUCAAAUGGAAAUGUACCUUUGUCAAGAAGAGGAGCUACGGACAGGAGUGAAGCUGUGAAGGUAGGGAGAGGUGAUUUUUCAUUCUAUCAAACUAACUAAACUUAGCAAAUAGAGAUUAAAUACAUUCAGAGAACAGCUCCUCUGAGCUCAACCUGAUGACACUCUUCAGGCAGGUGACACCUCCACCAUCUUUCUGCAGGAGCUGUCUCCUAACUUCAGUCUUUGGUCUACUCUUCAGAGUCUCUCCAUAAAUCAGCAAACCCAUUGAGCCUCUUGGGAAGUCCUUGAUGGUCCCCUGACCUUAAUGCCCCUUCUUCUUCACAUCAUUCCUCCGGUACAGAACCACUCCUGGUCAUGUCCUUCCCUUCUUCUGCCCCAACAGACCUCAUCAUACACCCACUCCCUGACCUGGGAUGCCAACAGAGGCCUCCCAACAGCAGCCAAGGAGGCAGAGCACUGGCCUUGUCUCAACUUGCCAUGACAAAUCACCACAAUUCAGACACAGAACAGCACGAGGGCUUUGCCCACUGCCUCUAAUCUCAUCCCUGACACGCACUUGUCUCCUCUCAGAUUACACUGUGUGGGGUACACUGUGCUGCAAAUGUGCUUUUAUCUACAAGUGGUUCCUCUCACGCCAUCUCACCCUGGAGCCUCACAGGGACCGGCAUUUUCAUUGCUUAUUUUCUCUCCUUCUUUCAUGGGUUUUCCAUCUUUUCCAUCUUCUUGGAAGUUAUGGCCUGCAUUGGUCAUCCCCAAGACUGAUGUCCUCCAAAGAUGCCCUUUGAUUUCACGUGCCCAAUGUACGACAGAUAACAUGGUCCAAAUGUCUCCAGGGGCUCCAGCCUGGAGCUGCAGGACUUGAGGCCAGAGAGUAGAAACAAGGCUAAAGUAUAGGCUAAAGAUCCCUCUAUGAGAAGGGGACAGAGACAGGUCUUCAGAGAGCCACCAGGCUCAGGCAAAGCCUGGUUGCUCAAGUCUGACAGUAACUGGAGCCCCUGGUUCCACAGGCAGGGGAUGAAAGAGUGGGAUCAGGGCAAACAAGGCCUUCUGUUGCAUUUGGGACCCUGGAAGAGAGAAUGAGUGCUUCCCAGGGACACUUUAGUGUGCUAUGCUGUUCCAUCAUGCUUCAUGAGAUGAAGUCCCUUUAUUACCCUCUCCCACACUUUUGGGUCUCUAAGAUGCAGCUCAUCAUUGUUCUUCCAUGACAGCGUGUGAAUUUCUAUCUUUGCCUCCUCUGUGGAAAACAUUUCCCAACAUCGUCCCUCACCGACACGGUGCUCCUCUCUCCUCCUUAGCCUCCAAGCAGAAGAUCUUACUUACCCUUGGCUCUGUAGGCGUUGUCUCCUAUGGUUUUGGAGCUAUUGCUCAGUUACAUGCACCACAUUCCAGGUUCUGCUAAGUGUUUCAAAGAAGCCUUCCUAUCAGGUAGAGCCCCCAGGGAGAGCAGGGGGAAGUCUCUGACCACUAUACAAACAGCAAACAGAAGAAGCCCCUCGCAUGGCGGCACAACACUGGAGGACAUCCUGGAGAGCUGGAAGGGCUGACGUGACUAGCGCCUGCUGACAAGAUCUCUGUCCAUGGGACAUGUGAGGGGAAGCCGUCACUGAUGUGAUGAGAUUGUGAGAGGAGUCUCCUGAUCACAAAACAUGAUCGCUGGGCACAGAUUUGCUCAUCAGGCACGGUGAAGGAGGACGAAGCAGAGCGGGUGGUCCUGACAGCCAUCAACACCCUCUUUCUCCUUGAAGCCUGGAGGCUCCCUGUGCUGGAGCUCCUGCAGCAGCACUGUUCCCAGCAGCACCAGGAGGAGGUUGUAGAAGAGGGAGAAGGUGGCCGGAGCUGGGUCAUUCACCAUGGUUGAGACCAACACAACAAAUCUCUCACUGAACCACAUGGAUUCUGGAUAUGACUACACUGAGCAAGACUUGCAAUAUUGGUGCAUAAGAGAUAAUUAUAAUAUAUUGAUAAUUUCAGGUGUUUUUAUUGUUGUUUGCCUGUGUGGACUUGCGGGGAAUAUGGUGGUUGUGUGGUUCCUGGGCUUCCACAUGAAGAAGAACCCCUUCACUGUCUAUGUCCUGAACCUGGCCAUCGCUGACUCCUCUCUGCUCCUCUUCAUUCUUGGGAUACUUAUGUUAUCUAUUCUUACAAUAGUAAAAUGUUAUAAGUGGUAUGAAUAUGAGCGGCCCAGAAAUAUCCUGAUGCUUGUGUUUCUGUAUUGGUAUUUGGUCAGCAUGUAUCUCCUGACAGCAAUGAGCAUGGAGAGGUGCCUCUCUGUUUUAUUCCCAAUCUGGUAUCGGUGUCAUCGCCCAAAGCACUUAUCAGGCAUCGUGUGUGGGGUGCUCUGGGCUGUCACUGGACUAUUUCUUGCUUUGGCUUUGAUUAGUUGUACUUUAUUUCAUUAUACCAAGUGUGAAAUUGUAAAUAUGGGUUUAAAUAUUGUAAAUUUUCUCAUUUUCUGUUUCGUCCCACUCCUUUCCAACCUUUCCCUCUUCAUCAGACUCCGUUGUGGCUCACAGAGACGACACCCAGGAAAGCUCUAUGUUGCUGUCCUCCUCAGUGUGAUGUUCAUGUUCAUCUUUGGCCUGCCUCUCAUCAUAUUGAUUUUGCUUCAUAACCUGGUUAGAUCCCUAUAUAUAAUUUAUAUUGGUUACCUGCUGGCAUCACUGAACAGCAGCAUCAACCCAGUCAUUUACUUCCUGGUGGGGAGCUGCCGGAAACGCCGGUUCCAGAGCUCCAUGAAAGCCGCCCUACGACGAGUGUUUGAAGAGAAAGUGACAAGUGAGGAGGAGAGCCGUGCACCUGAGGACACUAUGAUGGAGACCACUGUAUAAGACACUGCUGGUGAGAAGCCCUGGAGAUGCGGCCCCUCGCAGACAGCCAGAAGGAGGUGGAGGCGUGGGGACACGUAGCACACAGCCAGCGCUGCACUGCUCAGCCGGGAUCCGUCCCUCUGCCCGCCCUGCUUUCCCCUUGCCAUGAUCCUCAUUGCUCUGG
Calidris pugnax (ruff) is the source of this 4008-nucleotide RNA transcript. It is a transcript of the gene named mas-related G-protein coupled receptor member H-like, with no coding region annotated. The record is from RefSeq and is a predicted model, not a curated record. NCBI's taxonomy places the organism in Eukaryota, Metazoa, Chordata, Aves, Charadriiformes, Scolopacidae. The transcript is spliced from 3 exons.